Molecule: ribosomal RNA, 311 nt
Filed under: uncultured Glomeromycotina
Lineage: Eukaryota; Fungi; Glomeromycota
Description: LSU rRNA
Source: RNAcentral
UUGAAAGGGAAACGAUUGAAGUCAGUCAUGCUGGUGGGAAUCAACUUAGGGGAAACUCUNGGUGCACUUCUUCGCUUGGCAGGUCAACGUCGAUUUUGAAUGUCAUAAAAUAAUUGGGGAAGGUAGCUCCUUCGGGAGUGUUAUAGCCCUUGAUAGAUGUGAUGUUUGAGGUCGAGGAUUGCAACGGAUACCCUUUGGGGCUAGCUGCCUGAUCUCUAAUUGGUGUUGGGUUACGGAUAGCAUGCUGACCGUGAUCUAAUUACUGGUUAAAAGGUUAGAGUAUGCAUAAAUUCGUUAAGGAUGUUGACGUA